Molecule: ribosomal RNA, 477 nt
Filed under: uncultured bacterium
Lineage: Bacteria
Description: bacterial SSU rRNA
Rfam family: Bacterial small subunit ribosomal RNA
Source: RNAcentral
AGCCACCGGAAACGGUGAUUAAUACCGGAUAUGACAUACUGGCGCAUGUUGGUGUGUGGAAACUUUUUGGGUAGGGGAUGUGCUCGCGGCCUAUCAGCUUGAUGGUGGGGUAAUGGCCUACCAUGGCUUCGACGGGUAGCCGGCCUGAGAGGGUGACCGGUCACACUGGGACUGAGACACGGCCCAGACUCCUACGGGAGGCAGCAGUGGGGAAUAUUGGACAAUGGACGGAAGCCUGAUCCAGCAACGCCGCGUGAGGGAUGACGGCCUUCGGGUUGUAAACCUCUUUCAUCACAGACGAAGCCUUUGGGUGACGGUAUGUGGAGAAGAAGCACCGGCCAACUACGUGCCAGCAGCCGCGGUAAUACGUAGGGUGCGAGCGUUGUCCGGAAUUAUUGGGCGUAAAGGGCUCGUAGGCGGUUUGUCGCGUCGGGAGUGAAAUCCAUGGGCUUAACUUAUGGCUUGCUUUCGAUACGG